This 253-nucleotide ribosomal RNA is filed under the name uncultured bacterium. Its description in RNAcentral is "partial 16S ribosomal RNA". It matches the Rfam family "Bacterial small subunit ribosomal RNA", at positions 524 to 776 of the family's 1533-position model. The record is from RNAcentral.
UACAGAGGGUGCGAGCGUUGUUCGGAAUUAUUGGGCGUAAAGGGCGCGUAGGCGGCGCCACAAGUCACCUGUGAAAACUCUGGGCUCAACCCAGAGCCUGCAGGCGAAACUGUGGUGCUGGAGUAUGGGAGAGGUGCGUGGAAUUCCCGGUGUAGCGGUGAGAUGCGUAGGUAUCGGGAGGAACACCUGUGGCGAAAGCGGCGCACUGGACCAUAACUGACGCUGAGGCGCGAAAGCUAGGGGAGCAAACAGG